UGACAAUUACCAGGUGUGUAUGUGCUGUGAUUCCACAUGUGGUUCCAGCAGAAAAGGACUAGCACUCCCUGAUUCAGGCCUGGUAUCAGAAGGGAAAGCAACCAUUGGCCCCAUUGUGAUUGCUAAUUGAUGUAUUGUGAAUGGUGAGAACUGCCAAUAAAAGUUUUUAUGUAUUA
Molecule: non-coding RNA, 176 nt
Organism: Pimephales promelas (fathead minnow)
Lineage: Eukaryota; Metazoa; Chordata; Actinopteri; Cypriniformes; Leuciscidae
Source: RefSeq, a predicted model, not a curated record